This 363-nucleotide transfer-messenger RNA is filed under the name Escherichia coli. Its description in RNAcentral is "transfer-messenger RNA, SsrA". It matches the Rfam family "transfer-messenger RNA". From Rfam's summary of the family: Bacterial tmRNA, also known as 10Sa RNA or SsrA, is named for its dual tRNA and mRNA-like properties. Its role is to liberate the mRNA from a stalled ribosome. Lineage: Bacteria; Pseudomonadati; Pseudomonadota; Gammaproteobacteria; Enterobacterales; Enterobacteriaceae. The record is from RNAcentral.
GGGGCUGAUUCUGGAUUCGACGGGAUUUGCGAAACCCAAGGUGCAUGCCGAGGGGCGGUUGGCCUCGUAAAAAGCCGCAAAGAAUAGUCGCAAACGACGAAAACUACGCUUUAGCAGCUUAAUAACCUGCUUAGAGCCCUCUCUCCCUAGCCUCCGCUCUUAGGACGGGGAUCAAGAGAGGUCAAACCCAAAAGAGAUCGCGUGGAAGCCCUGCCUGGGGUUGAAGCGUUAAAACUUAAUCAGGCUAGUUUGUUAGUGGCGUGUCCGUCCGCAGCUGGCAAGCGAAUGUAAAGACUGACUAAGCAUGUAGUACCGAGGAUGUAGGAAUUUCGGACGCGGGUUCAACUCCCGCCAGCUCCACCA